CUUCCGUCGCCAGAUCCAAAACUUUCUGAUGUUGAUCUUGGGUAUAUUUUGAGUGAUUGGAAUUGAUGGAUAGUGUCAUUUGUGUAUUGUUCAAUUUUUACGGGCUUCUACUCAUGUAAUUAAGUUAGUGGUAGCAGUCUGUAUUUCCCAUGUCAGCUUCUGGUGAUGGAUAUUGAUUCUGAGAUCGUUCUGAGUGGUGACAAAGUGUCUUAGCUUGUUAGUGGCAGCAACUGUUAUAGCAACUGUUAUCAGUCUUGCGAUAUUUGGUCAAUCGGGAUUUUGUAGAGGGUUUGCUUUAUCCCAGCAUAUUUUGGGAAUCGGCUUGGUGUUCCUACAUUUUAGAGUCUUUUUCUCAGGGAGGUUUAAUUGUCAGUGUUAAUGGUGGAGCAAUCGGAACUUCAAUUAUCUAAAUUUGUGCUUGCAGAUGAG
Molecule: unclassified non-coding RNA, 429 nt
Filed under: Hevea brasiliensis (rubber tree)
Lineage: Eukaryota; Viridiplantae; Streptophyta; Magnoliopsida; Malpighiales; Euphorbiaceae
Source: RNAcentral